Molecule: non-coding RNA, 163 nt
Filed under: bovine gut metagenome
Description: glmS glucosamine-6-phosphate activated ribozyme
Rfam family: glmS glucosamine-6-phosphate activated ribozyme aptamer
About the family: This entry contains a glucosamine-6-phosphate activated ribozyme that is found in the mRNA for GlmS. GlmS is an enzyme that uses fructose-6-phosphate and glutamine to generate glucosamine-6-phosphate. The ribozyme catalyses self cleavage of the glmS mRNA that is thought to regulate GlmS activity.
Source: RNAcentral
GUGAAAAGCGCCUGAGCCUUUGCUUCGGAAUAUGAUGAUGCUUUUACCGGGGAAAGGCUGACGAGGAUGGAAGUUUAUCGAAUGAAUCGGCGGAUGCUUCCCGGCUUUGCAGAGAAGCUGCAUAUCGGCAUACAAAGUCUCCGGGUAACCGGAGGUACAGAAG